UUUCUUGCCGCUGCGUUUUCUGUCUGCUUCUUUUGGACAGUGCUUCUCUCUUGCUUAUCCGCCUGCUCUGCGUCCUGGUGCACGAGCCUGCUAAAAUAUCCGGUUCUCUUCAUUCCUUGUUGUUUAGGUUUCGGUGUUCCCAGGUUCGUCGUCACCCACCACUGGUACGGUCCCCGCUCGUUGGCUAGCUUAACUGACCUAGAGCUGUGGCCUUGGGGUCUUUCUUCCUUUCCGGUUAGAUGCAUACUUUGCUGUAACCUUUCUGCUUGAUCCUUCGCCUGAAACUGAUGUUUUUUCCUGUUUUCUUUGUUUCCUUUCUCGAGCCGCCAAAGGCCUGUCAAACCUCUGUCCUUCGCGUUCUCAGGGUUUCGGUUGUCUAGAUCAACCGCCGUUGGCUAAGCUACGUCUCCUCUCCGUCUCCGUCUUCAGGGCAUUCACUCAGGUCAGAAAUGAAAUGGAAUUGGGCAUCUCCCUCUCCGACACCCAGUAUCACAAGUGCCUCAUCUCCCGGAGGUUCUUCAGACCGAGAAUAACCUCGCAACCGGAGCUUUGUGGAAAUUAUGGCUCCUGUUUUCUCGCGGGAUGCUUGGCGAUGUGUUUGGCAUACGAUUCAGAAUGAUUUGGUGCAUGGUUGGGGAUUGGAUUUUGCGCUAAGGAGAUGUGUGGAGCCUGCACAUGAGAAAAUUGAUGUGGUUGACUCUCAGUGGAUAGUUCAUCAAGUUAUUCCUUCUCUGGGAAGUCAGGGUCAAUCUGAAAAUGGAAAAGCUCCUUGGCAAGGGGUAAGAGAGAGAUGCAGAAGUGAGUGGGCGCAGUUUCAAGAUCGCCUAGCCAAUGCAGAUAAGAAAUAUAUUGAACAGCUUGGGAGAACGAGGUAUUUGAACAACAGAAAGUUUUGUAUCCUUUUAAGUUUUCUUGCAUUUGGCUCUGAUUGGAAAAGAAAUAUAGAGACAUUGGAGAAAAAUAGUGUAACCAGUCUGAGGACAUUGAUCAAUCUUGGUUCUGAAGUGUACAUGCAAGCUGAUGUCAUCUCUGGCCUCCAAAGACGAAAAUUCGCUGAGAAGAUGAGCAACAACCAUGAUGAAAGGAUUAUUUUACUACCAUUACUUCCUUACAAGGACUAAGGACAAUUCAUGAGGUCCUAGAAUCCGAUCAUGAAAUCUCAGAAUCAGUUCUCCAUCGUAUUGUCUCAUCUAUGAAUCCAUUCCUAAAACAUGACUGGACUACAUUCAAUUGCUUCUAUCAAUUUUAUCUAUCAAAGCUGGAUCUGCCAGAAUUUGCGAAUCUAAGGCUAAAUGAAGAUAGUACGCUGACUAUAACUCUUAUGAAUGGUCAUAAAUAUUAUCAUGUUGGUAUGACCGAUAGAUGUUUUGAUCAAAACUGAAACCGUUUUUUUAUUGAUCAUGAUCUAAACAAUGGCCAGAUAUUGCUUUUUAUUCCACAAUCCAAGACUCCCUUUGCUGUGCUGGUGUUUGACCGCAAAGGAAUAGAGAAGUUGUUUCCAUGGCAGUUUGCAUUUUCCAUUUGAUGGCACAUCUGAUUUACGCUGAUUCUGCUUCAACGCAAUGCACGGCAUUUGUUGUAUUUAUGUUCUUAAUGGAAAAAAGUUCUGGUUAGAAAAAUGCUUCCAAAGCACUGCAAAUUUAAUGUUUA
Coffea arabica (coffee) is the source of this 1650-nucleotide RNA transcript. RefSeq lists it as uncharacterized. Lineage: Eukaryota; Viridiplantae; Streptophyta; Magnoliopsida; Gentianales; Rubiaceae. The record is from RefSeq and is a predicted model, not a curated record.